RNAcentral lists this ribosomal RNA (940 nucleotides) under uncultured Alternaria. Its description in RNAcentral is "eukaryotic LSU rRNA". The stretch from base 564 to 940 matches the Rfam family "Eukaryotic large subunit ribosomal RNA", at positions 1 to 375 of the family's 3401-position model. Lineage: Eukaryota; Fungi; Ascomycota; Dothideomycetes; Pleosporales; Pleosporaceae. The record is from RNAcentral.
UCCUCUAGAGAUUCUUGGUCAUUUAGAGGAAGUAAAAGUCGUAACAAGGUCUCCGUAGGUGAACUGCGGAGGGAUCAUUACACAAAUAUGAAGGCGGGCUGGAACCUCUCGGGGUUACAGCCUUGCUGAAUUAUUCACCCUUGUCUUUUGCGUACUUCUUGUUUCCUUGGUGGGUUCGCCCACCACUAGGACAAACAUAAACCUUUUGUAAUUGCAAUCAGCGUCAGUAACAAAUUAAUAAUUACAACUUUCAACAACGGAUCUCUUGGUUCUGGCAUCGAUGAAGAACGCAGCGAAAUGCGAUAAGUAGUGUGAAUUGCAGAAUUCAGUGAAUCAUCGAAUCUUUGAACGCACAUUGCGCCCUUUGGUAUUCCAAAGGGCAUGCCUGUUCGAGCGUCAUUUGUACCCUCAAGCUUUGCUUGGUGUUGGGCGUCUUGUCUCUAGCUUUGCUGGAGACUCGCCUUAAAGUAAUUGGCAGCCGGCCUACUGGUUUCGGAGCGCAGCACAAGUCGCACUCUCUAUCAGCAAAGGUCUAGCAUCCAUUAAGCCUUUUUUUCAACUUUUGACCUCGGAUCAGGUAGGGAUACCCGCUGAACUUAAGCAUAUCAAUAAGCGGAGGAAAAGAAACCAACAGGGAUUGCCCUAGUAACGGCGAGUGAAGCGGCAACAGCUCAAAUUUGAAAUCUGGCUCUUUUAGAGUCCGAGUUGUAAUUUGCAGAGGGCGCUUUGGCUUUGGCAGCGGUCCAAGUUCCUUGGAACAGGACGUCACAGAGGGUGAGAAUCCCGUACGUGGUCGCUGGCUAUUGCCGUGUAAAGCCCCUUCGACGAGUCGAGUUGUUUGGGAAUGCAGCUCUAAAUGGGAGGUACAUUUCUUCUAAAGCUAAAUAUUGGCCAGAGACCGAUAGCGCACAAGUAGAGUGAUCGAAAGAUGAAAAGAAUC